This 253-nucleotide ribosomal RNA is filed under the name uncultured bacterium. RNAcentral describes it as "partial 16S ribosomal RNA". It matches the Rfam family "Bacterial small subunit ribosomal RNA", at positions 524 to 776 of the family's 1533-position model. The record is from RNAcentral.
UACGGAGGGUGCGAGCGUUGUCCGGAAUCAUUGGGCGUAAAGGGCGCGUAGGUGGCCCGCUCAGCGUGCGGUGAAAGCUCGGGGCUCAACCCCGAGUCGGCCGUGCGAACUGGUGGGCUGGAGCACUGUAGAGGCAGGCGGAAUUCCGGGUGUAGCGGUGGAAUGCGUAGAGAUCCGGAAGAACACCGGUGGCGAAGGCGGCCUGCUGGGCAGUGCUGGACACUGAGGCGCGACAGCGUGGGGAGCAAACAGG